Gallus gallus (chicken) is the source of this 664-nucleotide long non-coding RNA. The record is from Ensembl. Lineage: Eukaryota; Metazoa; Chordata; Aves; Galliformes; Phasianidae.
GUCCUUAACAAGUGCUUCAUUAAGCUGUUUGAAAAAUGUUCCUUUCUGUUCUCCUUUGAACAGGUUAUGCUUUGCUCUUUUAAGCUAGUUUUUGGCUGCCUCCCCAUACCUGAGAGGAUGGGUGGAGAGGUGGCCAUCUGCUCCGAGAGCGAGAAGCCUUUUUAAUCCACAGCAGCAGGAAAUGUGCUGACAGACAGCACGGUCUCUCCAGCAGGCAAAUCAGCAUCCAUCUCUCGGCUAGCAGUGAUAGAGCAGUGAUGGAGCAGAGGCAGCCCGGCUUGGCAGCACAGCAUGAGGAAGUCAGAGGCAUUCACCUCUACUGCAUGAUGAAAGGCUGGCUUCCAGCUCAUGUGAUGAUAGCCACAAGCACAAGAGAACUGCAGUGAAGUCAGUGCAGAUUUAUGCUAGGCUCAAACUCUGGACCAAAACAUGCAGUCUGUGACACAAAACAGGCUCACCCCUGGGAACGUCAGCGAGAGGUGCCCUGGUGUCACCAGGGAGCAUGGAGACCUCCAUGGCCAACAGGAUGGGCGCUCCCUUGGCAAGUGCUGUUCCUCUGGGCAGUGACAAGGCCGUGAUCCCCAGGGAGCAGAGGUCUGACAGCCACCCACUUACUCCAACUGGGAAAAUGAAACAACACAGAGAAACUGGAGGGAGGGAUGAG